RNAcentral lists this non-coding RNA (107 nucleotides) under Sphingopyxis indica. Its description in RNAcentral is "Glycine sequence". It matches the Rfam family "Glycine riboswitch aptamer". From Rfam's summary of the family: This family represents the bacterial glycine riboswitch. Glycine riboswitches usually consist of two metabolite-binding aptamers domains with similar structures in tandem. The record is from Rfam by way of RNAcentral. Lineage: Bacteria; Pseudomonadati; Pseudomonadota; Alphaproteobacteria; Sphingomonadales; Sphingopyxidaceae.
UCUGGACACUCUGGAAAGCGUCGUGGCUCCAUGCUGCGACCACCGAAGGGGUAACUCCAUGCUUUCAUGGAGGAAAACUCUCAGGUUCCCGUGACAGAGGGGGCAUG